CAGUAAAUAUGAAAGGAUGAAACGCAACAU
This 30-nucleotide non-coding RNA is filed under the name Mus musculus (house mouse). Lineage: Eukaryota; Metazoa; Chordata; Mammalia; Rodentia; Muridae. The record is from RNAcentral.